UGUGUGUGUGUGUGUGUGUGUGUGUGUGUGUUUGUGUGUGUAUAUAUGUGUGUGAGAGAGAGCCUGUUAGUGUAGCUGUGCGCGCACUCGCUCCCUCCCUUCCUGCUUGGCUCGCUCGCUCGCUCUCUCGUUCCCUCGCCUGCCAGCCGCCUGGUUCAGACUCGCUCUCGGUCUCAGGGCGGGAGGAUCCGGGGAGAGCAGCCCCGGGAGCUCGGCGGCUCCACAGCGGCUGCCGUCUGAGCAUUGUGCGGCUGCGGCGGCGGCGGCCACUUCGGUUCCGAUUCCCACCUGCUGGCGGCCCAGGGAGGAAGAGGAGGAAGGGGAAGAAGGAGCCGCAGCAGCAGGAGGAAACCCGCUCCUUCCUCCGGCGCACACCUACCUCCCCGCAGGGCUUUGCAAUCUUCUGCCCCCCCUCCUUCUCCCUGGCCCCGGGUGGCCUCGUGGAAGGCGUGCAAGCCCCCCGCCCCCUCCCAGCCCUCUCCGGCCCAAGGCUGCCGCUGCUGCAGCCCCUCCUGCCCGCUGACCGUGACUGCCGCCGCCGAGGGAGCGAGGCGGAGAGAGAAGGACCCGGGCAGGCACCGGCGCCUACUGCAAUGUGCCGGGGAGCCGCCGCCUCCUGGCCCCAGCCCCUCUGAGCCAGCCUCGGGGGAGUGGAGGAAGAGGACAAGCGGAACGAGGCAGCUGCGAACCGCAGAGACAGAGAGAGGAGAGGAGAGCGCGAUCGGGAGAGACAGAGGGAGCAAGAAAGCCGGGAGAGAGCGCGGGCGAAGAGAGGAGGAGGAGCAGCGGCAGGAGCAGGGCGCACCAUGCCGGGCUGGAAGAAGAACAUCCCCAUCUGUUUGCAAGCCGAGGAGCAGGAGAAAGUAUGGUGCCUGGUGGUUUUGGAGUUUGAUAAUCAACAGUCACACGACAGAGACAAAGAAUAAAAUAAUCCCUAUUUGCAAAGACCUUACUUUCUACUGGGGAAGACAUACAGGUACAUUUAUAAAUAUGUUUUGAUAUUAUCUUUCAGUCAUUUUCAGUUGUGUCCAACUCUUCA
This 1039-nucleotide long non-coding RNA is filed under the name Phascolarctos cinereus (koala). Its description in RNAcentral is "lncRNA (ENSPCIG00000036634.1)". Lineage: Eukaryota; Metazoa; Chordata; Mammalia; Diprotodontia; Phascolarctidae. The record is from RNAcentral.